GGGUGCCUGUUGUAACGGCAGCAUGCGGGAUUCCAAAUCCUUGCGGACGAGGUUCGAAUCCUUGGGUGCCCGCCA
Molecule: transfer RNA, 75 nt
Filed under: Pseudomonas phage ventosus
Lineage: Duplodnaviria; Heunggongvirae; Uroviricota; Caudoviricetes; Vandenendeviridae
Description: tRNA-Trp
Rfam family: tRNA
About the family: Transfer RNA (tRNA) molecules are approximately 80 nucleotides in length. Their secondary structure includes four short double-helical elements and three loops (D, anti-codon, and T loops).
Source: RNAcentral